This 466-nucleotide ribosomal RNA is filed under the name uncultured bacterium. Its description in RNAcentral is "bacterial SSU rRNA". It matches the Rfam family "Bacterial small subunit ribosomal RNA", at positions 338 to 795 of the family's 1533-position model. The record is from RNAcentral.
CCUANGGGUGGCAGCAGUGGGGAAUUUUGCGCAAUGGGCGAAAGCCUGACGCAGCGACGCCGCGUGAGGGAUGAAGGUUCUCGGAUCGUAAACCUCUGUCAGGAAGGAUUAAAGGUAUGGAUGUGAAUAUCAUCCAUACUUGACUUAACUUCCAAAGGAAGCCCCGGCUAACUACGUGCCAGCAGCCGCGGUAAUACGUAGGGGGCAAGCGUUACUCGGAUUUACUGGGCGUAAAGAGAAUUAAGGCGGUCAUGUAAGUCAGUGGUGAAAUCCCUCGGCUCAACUGAGGAAUUGCCUUUGAUACUGCGUGACUUGAGGACAGGAGAGGAAGGCGGAAUUCCCGGUGUAGCGGUGGAAUGCGUAGAUAUCGGGAGGAACACCUGAGGCGAAGGCGGCUUUCUGGACUGGUCCUGACGCUGAUAUUCGAAAGCUAGGGGAGCAAACAGGAUUAGAUACCCUANUANUC